Molecule: ribosomal RNA, 468 nt
Filed under: uncultured bacterium
Lineage: Bacteria
Description: partial 16S ribosomal RNA
Rfam family: Bacterial small subunit ribosomal RNA
Source: RNAcentral
GACGAACGCUGGCGGCGUGCUUAACACAUGCAAGUCGAACGGAAAGGCCCUGCGUUUGUGGGGUGCUCGAGUGGCGAACGGGUGAGUAACACGUGAGUAACCUGCCCUUGACUUUGGGAUAACUUCAGGAAACUGGGGCUAAUACCGGAUAGGAGCUCCUGCUGCAUUGUGGGGGUUGGAACGUUUCGGCGGUUGGGGAUGGACUCGCGGCUUAUCAGCUUGUUGGUGGGGUAGUGGCUUACCAAGGCUUUGACGGGUAGCCGGCCUGGGAGGGUGACCGGCCACAUUGGGACUACGAGACGGACCAGAGUCCUACGGGAGGCAGCAGUGGGGAAUAUGGCACAAUGGGCGGAAGCCUGAUGCAGCAACGCCGCGUGCGGGAUGACGGCUUUCGGGUUGUAAACCGCUUCCGCCUGUGACGAAGCGGGAGUGACGGUAAUGGGUAAAGAAGCACCGGCUAACUACGUG